UGGGGAAUCUUGCGCAAUGGACGAAAGUCUGACGCAGCGACGCCGCGUGGGUGAUGAAGGCCUUCGGGUUGUAAAGCCCUGUGGGGAGGGACGAAUAAGUUCCAGCUAAUACCUGGAGCGAUGACGGUACCUCCUUAGCAAGCACCGGCUAACUCUGUGCCAGCAGCCGCGGUAAGACAGAGGGUGCAAACGUUGUUCGGAAUUACUGGGCGUAAAGCGCGUGUAGGCGGCCAUGCAAGUCGGAUGUGAAAGCCCUCGGCUCAACCGGGGAAGUGCACCCGAAACUGCAAAGCUAGAGUCUCGGAGAGGAUCGUGGAAUUCUCGGUGUAGAGGUGAAAUUCGUAGAUAUCGAGAGGAACACCGGUGGCGAAGGCGGCGAUCUGGACGAUGACUGACGCUGAGACGCGAAAGCGUGGGGAGCAAACA
RNAcentral lists this ribosomal RNA (426 nucleotides) under uncultured Phaselicystis sp. RNAcentral describes it as "bacterial SSU rRNA". It matches the Rfam family "Bacterial small subunit ribosomal RNA", at positions 355 to 774 of the family's 1533-position model. The record is from RNAcentral. Lineage: Bacteria; Pseudomonadati; Myxococcota; Polyangiales; Phaselicystidaceae.